GGCUCGUUGGUCUAGGGGUAUGAUUCUCGCUUCGGGUGCGAGAGUCCGGGUUCAAAUCCUGGACGAGCCC
Astyanax mexicanus (Mexican tetra) is the source of this 70-nucleotide transfer RNA. It matches the Rfam family "tRNA". Rfam says of the family: Transfer RNA (tRNA) molecules are approximately 80 nucleotides in length. Their secondary structure includes four short double-helical elements and three loops (D, anti-codon, and T loops). NCBI's taxonomy places the organism in Eukaryota, Metazoa, Chordata, Actinopteri, Characiformes, Acestrorhamphidae. The record is from Rfam.